RNAcentral lists this ribosomal RNA (294 nucleotides) under uncultured bacterium. RNAcentral's name for it is "partial 16S ribosomal RNA". It matches the Rfam family "Bacterial small subunit ribosomal RNA", at positions 775 to 1067 of the family's 1533-position model. The record is from RNAcentral.
GGAUUAGAUACCCUGGUAGUCCACGCCGUAAACGAUGUCAACUAGCCGUUGGUCCUAUUAAAAGGAUUAGUGGCGCAGCUAACGCGAUAAGUUGACCGCCUGGGGAGUACGGCCGCAAGGCUAAAACUCAAAUGAAUUGACGGGGGCCCGCACAAGCGGUGGAGCAUGUGGUUUAAUUCGAUGCAACGCGAAGAACCUUACCAUCCCUUGACAUCCUCAGAACUUGUCAGAGACGACUUGGUGCCUUCGGGAACUGAGAGACAGGUGCUGCAUGGCUGUCGUCAGCUCGUGCCG